This 522-nucleotide unclassified non-coding RNA is filed under the name Athalia rosae (coleseed sawfly). RNAcentral describes it as "misc RNA ENSAEAG00005010779.1". Lineage: Eukaryota; Metazoa; Arthropoda; Insecta; Hymenoptera; Athaliidae. The record is from RNAcentral.
CGAACGUUUUGUUGACAGAAGGAUCGCACGCCCAACACUGCAGAUUCGGCACAGCAACUAAAGUGCUUGAAGCUUAAUGACUGGACUUGAACGAUUGAAUAAGAAGCAGAGCUCUGUUAUGUUUUUUUGUAUUUUAUUUGAAUAUUUUUUUUUCGUAAUCGAAUAGGUUUCAAUCAAAAAAGUUCCACAUUCGAAACGUCAAUCGCUAGUUACUUCAAUAAUCCGCGUGUUUGAUGUGCGGUCUAAUGACGACUGAAAUCCACUGAGGCAUCUUGCUGCUUAUAAGAUUUCGUUAUGUGAUGCAAUUCUUUACUGCGGAAGAGAUUGUACCUACUAUCUGUACUCAAUAUAAUUGCAGAUUGGUACCAGCUCUAGCAGAUAAUGUUUUCGGUCGAUUUACUUCAGAUUUACUGAAAACCGUCGUUGCGAGUGAAAAUAAAAGUCUCUACGAAAUUCUGUCAACCAACAGUGACCGGAGAUUCUUAAUCUUCAAUCAAGGCAAAUUCAUCACUAUUCUUUGAG